This 20-nucleotide microRNA is filed under the name Gallus gallus (chicken). RNAcentral's name for it is "gga-miR-12239-5p". Lineage: Eukaryota; Metazoa; Chordata; Aves; Galliformes; Phasianidae. The record is from miRBase by way of RNAcentral.
AUGUUGCUGGAAGGAGCAGA